RNAcentral lists this ribosomal RNA (377 nucleotides) under uncultured bacterium. RNAcentral's name for it is "bacterial SSU rRNA". It matches the Rfam family "Bacterial small subunit ribosomal RNA", at positions 521 to 896 of the family's 1533-position model. The record is from RNAcentral.
UAAUACAGAGGGGGCAAGCGUUGUUCGGAAUUACUGGGCGUAAAGGGUUCGUAGGUGGCCCGCUAAGUCACACGUGAAAUCCCUCAGCUUAACUGGGGAACUGCGUGUGAGACUGGCAGGCUUGAGUGCAGGAGAGGAACGCGGAAUUCCAGGUGUAGCGGUGAAAUGCGUAGAUAUCUGGAGGAACACCGGUGGCGAAGGCGGCGUUCUGGACUGUAUCUGACACUGAGGAACGAAAGCCAGGGGAGCAAACGGGAUUAGAUACCCCGGUAGUCCUGGCCCUAAACGAUGAAUGCUUGGUGUGACGGGUAUCGAUCCCUGUCGUGCCGUAGUUAACGCGUUAAGCAUUCCGCCUGGGGAGUACGGUCGCAAGGCUG